GAUGAACGCUGGCGGCGUGCCUAAUACAUGCAAGUCGAGCGAACGGACGAGAAGCUUGCUUUUCUGAUGUUAGCGGCGGACGGGUGAGUAACACGUGGAUAACCUACCUAUAAGACUGGGAUAACUUCGGGAAACCGGAGCUAAUACCGGAUAAUAUUUUGAACCGCAUGGUUCAAAAGUGAAAGACGGUCUUGCUGUCACUUAUAGAUGGAUCCGCGCUGCAUUAGCUAGUUGGUAAGGUAACGGCUUACCAAGGCAACGAUGCAUAGCCGACCUGAGAGGGUGAUCGGCCACACUGGAACUGAGACACGGUCCAGACUCCUACGGGAGGCAGCAGUAGGGAAUCUUCCGCAAUGGGCGAAAGCCUGACGGAGCAACGCCGCGUGAGUGAUGAAGGUCUUCGGAUCGUAAAACUCUGUUAUUAGGGAAGAACAUAUGUGUAAGUAACUGUGCACAUCUUGACGGUACCUAAUCAAAAAGCCACGGCUAACUACGUG
This 497-nucleotide ribosomal RNA is filed under the name uncultured bacterium. RNAcentral's name for it is "partial 16S ribosomal RNA". It matches the Rfam family "Bacterial small subunit ribosomal RNA", at positions 28 to 507 of the family's 1533-position model. The record is from RNAcentral.